Molecule: non-coding RNA, 207 nt
Organism: Pelobates cultripes (western spadefoot toad)
Lineage: Eukaryota; Metazoa; Chordata; Amphibia; Anura; Pelobatidae
Source: the annotation of a GenBank genome assembly
CUUGGUUACAAAAUAUUUGAUGGGUUAAUCUCUCUAUCUGAAGUUUAUCUAGAAACAAAUAAUGGGGAGACUUCGCUAUAAAAUAGCAGGUCAGGAAAAAAAUCUUAUUUAAAAUUGUUUCUGUGUAAUUUUAAUUACGUAGGUAUUACGUUGUAAUUGCAGUAUAUGAGGUCAGAUUUUGGUUUGGGUUUAAUAGUAAUUUUAUUU